RNAcentral lists this ribosomal RNA (261 nucleotides) under uncultured bacterium. Its description in RNAcentral is "partial 16S ribosomal RNA". The record is from RNAcentral.
CUGCUGCCUCCCGUAGGAGUCUGGUCCGUGUCUCAGUACCAGUGUGGGGGACCUUCCUCUCAGAACCCCUAUCCAUCGUCGUCUUGGUGGGCCGUUACCCCGCCAACUAACUAAUGGAACGCAUCCCCAUCGAUAACCGAAAUUCUUUAAUAUCAAGAUCAUGCGAUCUUGAUAUGCUAUCGGAUAUUAAUCUUUCUUUCGAAAGGCUAUCCCCGAGUUAUCGGCAGGUUGGAUACGUGUUACUCACCCGUGCGCCGGUCG